CCUACGGGAGGCAGCAGUGGGGAAUAUUGGACAAUGGGGGGAACCCUGAUCCAGCCAUGCCGCGUGUGUGAAGAAGGCCCUCGGGUUGUAAAGCACUUUCAGUGAGGAAGAACGCCUGGUGGUUAAUACCCAUCAGGAAAGACAUCACUCACAGAAGAAGCACCGGCUAACUCCGUGCCAGCAGCCGCGGUAAUACGGAGGGGGCGAGCGUUAAUCGGAAUUACUGGGCGUAAAGCGCGCGUAGGUGGCUUGAUAAGCCGGUUGUGAAAGCCCCGGGCUCAACCUGGGAACGGCAUCCGGAACUGUCAAGCUAGAGUGCAGGAGAGGAAGGUAGAAUUCCCGGUGUAGCGGUGAAAUGCGUAGAGAUCGGGAGGAAUACCAGUGGCGAAGGCGGCCUUCUGGACUGACGCUGACACUGAGGUGCGAAAGCGUGGGUAGCAAACAGGAUUAGAUACCCUAGUAGUC
RNAcentral lists this ribosomal RNA (465 nucleotides) under Vreelandella stevensii. RNAcentral describes it as "partial 16S ribosomal RNA". It matches the Rfam family "Bacterial small subunit ribosomal RNA", at positions 338 to 795 of the family's 1533-position model. The record is from RNAcentral. Lineage: Bacteria; Pseudomonadati; Pseudomonadota; Gammaproteobacteria; Oceanospirillales; Halomonadaceae.